GACGAACGCUGGCGGCGUGCUUAACACAUGCGAGUCGAACGGAAAGGCCUUUUCGGAGGUACUCGAGUGGCGAACGGGUGAGUAACACGUGGGUGAUCUGCCCUGCACUCUGGGAUAAGCCUGGGAAACUGGGUCUAAUACCGGAUAGGACCGCACUUUAGUGUGUGUGGUGGAAAGUUUUUUCGGUGUAGGAUGAGCCCGCGGCCUAUCAGCUUGUUGGUGGGGUAAUGGCCUACCAAGGCGGCGACGGGUAGCCGGACUGAGAGGUUGGUCGGCCACAUUGGGACUGAGAUACGGCCCAGACUCCGACGGGAGGCAGCAGGGGGGAAUAUUGCACAAUGGGCGCAAGCCUGAUGCAGCGACGCCGCGUGGGGGAUGACGGCCUUCGGGUUGUAAACUCCUUUCGCCAGGGACGAAGCGUUUUGUGACGGUACCUGGAGAAGAAGCACCGGCUAACUACGUG
This 463-nucleotide ribosomal RNA is filed under the name uncultured bacterium. Its description in RNAcentral is "partial 16S ribosomal RNA". It matches the Rfam family "Bacterial small subunit ribosomal RNA", at positions 28 to 507 of the family's 1533-position model. The record is from RNAcentral.